Molecule: ribosomal RNA, 449 nt
Filed under: uncultured bacterium
Lineage: Bacteria
Description: bacterial SSU rRNA
Rfam family: Bacterial small subunit ribosomal RNA
Source: RNAcentral
GGCCAGACUCCUACGGGAGGCAGCAGUGGGGAAUAUUGCACAAUGGGGGAAACCCUGAUGCAGCAACGCCGCGUGAAGGAAGACGGUUUUCGGAUUGUAAACUUCUGUUCUUAGUGAAGAAGAAUGACGGUAGCUAAGGAGCAAGCCACGGCUAACUACGUGCCAGCAGCCGCGGUAAAACGUAGGGUGCAAGCGUUGUCCGGAAUUACUGGGUGUAAAGGGAGCGCAGGCGGAUUGACAAGUUGGGAGUGAAAACUACGGGCUCAACCCGUAACCUGCUUUCAAAACUGUCAGUCUUGAGUGGUGUAGAGGUAGGCGGAAUUCCCGGUGUAGCGGUGGAAUGCGUAGAUAUCGGGAGGAACACCAGUGGCGAAGGCGGCCUACUGGGCACUAACUGACGCUGAGGCUCGAAAGCAUGGGUAGCAAACAGGAUUAGAUACCCGAGUAAU